Molecule: long non-coding RNA, 4688 nt
Filed under: Nicotiana tabacum (common tobacco)
Lineage: Eukaryota; Viridiplantae; Streptophyta; Magnoliopsida; Solanales; Solanaceae
Description: long non-coding RNA (NTAB_LNC012049)
Source: RNAcentral
GAGAGCCACACACCCUCCUCUCCAAGAUCCAGCCGCCCAACCCUCUCUUAAGCCGCCGCCGCCGGUGGUGCUCCAAACACCACCCAACUUACGCCAAUCUCUUUCUCUCUUCACCCUCUCGCCGAUUCCAAGCCUCGAAUCCUCGAAAACCCCUUCUAACUCUCAGCCGCCCCACUCCAUCUUCACCCCAUUCAACCACUUUAAAAUCUUAUCUCCUUCACUGUACCACCACUUAGCUCCACUAUUACAAUCAAGAAUUGAAAGCAUCUUUUACACAUUUUGACAAGCACCUAGCAGUCAUGUAAAAGCCUUGGCCGCCGAACUCCACUCCUCUUUCCACUUUCACCUUCUACACAAAGAACGUCCCUCCCCUCCAUUAUUCUGCUAUAUGAGCUUCUAUAUUCCAACUCUAGAUAUUACCAUUGCAGUAUUACUAAGGAUUUGAGAUGAUAAUCAUAGAUAAGAUUUUCAAAAUUGCACCGCCACAGUUAAGGUUGUUCGAGUUGCGCUCGAUUCUAGUUAAAAAGCAAGGUCGUCGUUCAAGCUUUACAACGAAGUUUCCGUUCUUGGCUCGACAGUUCCGGUCCCAUGUGAUUUCAGUCGAGGAUUUCCGGUCAAGUUCUGGCCUCGGUUCCUAUUCACGCACUGCUACUGUAAUCAGAUGACUCAUUUUGAGGUCCAUUUCUUACUUUCUCUCGUUGGUUGCUAUCUAUUUGUGUGGGUAUGUGAUUUUGUUUAAAUGAUUUGAUAUUUUUUAUUAAUUUAUAUUUGUUUGGACUUCAAUUGAAAAGCAUGUUUAAAUGAGUGUAUGUGAAAUUUGUACCCAACUUCUGAUUCUCCUCUGGUGGUGUUCGAAUUACUUGAGCAAAUAGUAAAAUUAGGAGAUUAAGAAUCGGGAAAGAAGUAAGGUUCGAUAAUUCGGAUUGGGUUACUAAAAUAAUUAGAUAGUAGUUUUUUUGUGAUUUAAAAAGCAAAAAAAAAUAGUUUUGGACUUUGCAAGGCAAAUUGGUAGUAGCUGAGAACUAAAAUUAUAACGAUUUGAGUGUAGGAUGAUUUUUUUUUUGUUUUUUUUGUGAAUUUUUUAUUUUGCUUUAUUAGUUUAACCGCUAGGAACAUGUUUAGGCCGUUAAUGUUCGGAUAGGCAAACUUUAGUAUUUUGUUUGUUUUAAUUUCGAGGCGAGAGGUCGUUCCCUUUAGUUUAUAUUUAGGGGAAUGGCCCGUAGACUCUGUAAAUAUUUUUAUCAGGAGAAUGCCCCGAAGUAUUAUGUAGUUAGAGGCCAAAGACGGGACGAUGCGAAGAAGCGUAGAAUAGAAUUAUAGUAUUUUUAUUUUAUUUCUUCUUUUAUUUUUAUUUUUUUAGGUGGGGACAACCUCGAGCCUCUUGUGUGUUUAUGUUUCUUUCUUUCGUGUGUUUUUUGCCUCAGUUUGAGUUUUCUUAAAAGCCAACUUGAUCAUGUAUGCAACCGUGACCUUCACGGGACUUGGGGAAUGCCUAGCACCUUCUCCCCGAGUCAAAUGAACCCCUUUACCUUGAAUCUCUGGUGCAGUCAUUUUUAGGGUCAAACGUGUUUUGAAAGAAAAAUUAUUUUUAAACGGUGACCUGACACACCGAAACCAAAUGUCAGGUGGCGACUCUGAAAAAUCUUUCGAAACACAAUCUUUUGUCACUCUUCAAAUUGAAACCCUUUUGAGCUUUACAAAUCUUUUAUUUAUUUUAAAGAGGGUUAGUGAGGUGAAAAAAGGGGUGUGACAGCUUUGGCGACUCUGUUGGGGAUUUGCAGGUUCGAGCUGAUACUGUGAUCUUGUUGGCUUUUUAGAAUACUCAAUUGAGGCAUUUUUGUGUUUUUGUUUCUUGUGUGUUUUUACACUUUGUUGCUUAGUUGCUAAUUGUUUAUGUGUUUACCAUUUUCCUUUAUGUGUUACUGCUUUAUAAUUAUCAUCAUUUGCAUUACCCGGUCAAUUCUUUCUACAAUAAGUCUCGUAGUACGUGUGGCGUACACGAACUCUUUAUUGAGUCACCCUUAUUUUGGGGGGAAGGGGGGGUCGUCGGACGUAUGGAGUGGGUGAAAAGCUUGAGCAGCCACCAUCGACCAUACGUUCCCCCGAAUUGCCUUGUCUAGUGAACCUCAAACUUAGGUCAGCCUUUAGGUCAUUCUUAUUUGCAUCAUGUCAUUUAGACCUAGUAGGGCUCGGUCCCAGGCACCGUGUCCCUUUGUAGGAGGCCUAUCCAAAUUAUGUCAAAAUAGGCCCGCUGGCCCAAAAGGACAUUCAAUCAUUCUACGUGCUAAAUGUUGCAUCUUUGAGGGUAGAAAGGUCAUUUAGCAGACUGAUGUUUGGGAAAGAAUGGUGAAAAAAGAAGCAAGAGAGAAUAUUGAGGGUUUUGUCACUUUUAUAUUCUUGCUCCAUUUUCUAAAAUAAAAAAAAAAAGCAAAAAGAUUUUACACUUUCUUAUCAUUUUCAAAAAAGACAAAAAAUAUUUUUUUCAAAUUAAUUGCAUUUUUCAAAACUUUCUCCCAUAUCCAAUCCUCCCGAACUACACAUACCUGAUUUUCGUCUUUCGAGGUGGGAUAUGUAGGCAGCCCACAUAGAGUCCGGUCUUCCUAGUUAGUCUUAAGUUCUUGGCUUCGCGGGGUCUUAGCCAAAUAUUACAUGUCUAGCCACAUUAGGUCACAUCGGCCCUUUUUUGCAAAAUAGGGAUAUUUUCGCAAAAAGUGGUUUGUUAACCCAUGUCUUAGAGUUUUAAGUCUACCACAAGGUGUCCUCUCUGUCUAAGGUCCAUUCAUAUUUAAUUUGCAUGCUUAGCCAUUUUCGACCACAUAGGCCAUUUCUGCAAAGUGGGAUCAUUUUCACAAAGCAACUUUAGGGACCGCGAUUCCUGAGAGUUUAUGGGCCUUCGUGAGGUGUUUCCAUAUUUUAGAGGUCGUCCUAAUUGAGUUUUCACUUUUAGCCACCUUUUGGCCACGUAGGUCAGUUUGCAAAAAUAGCCUUAAUCAUGUCUUGCAUGUGUCCAACAGGAAGUGUUAUUGUCUCACAUAGUAUUCUAAGUCUUUAACUCUAUUUGGUCUUAUUUUUUUCAUAAAGGUAUAGAUCCAUUUGCCGGAGAUUGAGCAUGACAGACGCCCCAGGACCAUCCAGUCAGGACCACUGCAUUCAUGAGUUGCUUGAGGAUACUUUUAUGUUUUGAGUCUGUCAUUCAUGUUGCCUUUUAUUUUUAGUCUUGUACAGUAGUAUCGAAUCUUUUAGGUGGUGUCAGAGUCUGUCCUAGUCUAGUUGAGUUUGUCGAGUCUUUUGUUAUCGUAUUUCCUAUUUUGUAUGUGAAAACCAAAAAGAGUUAUAAAUGAAAAAUUCAAAAAGAUUUUAUUUUUAGUAUAUUUUGUCCAUUACUUUUCCAGAAAUACGCUUGGUCUGAUUCAUGUGGAACAUGAUACGUAGGCAAUCUACAUCGGGUUCGAUCGAAUCAUUUUAGAAAUUAAAAGAAAAAAAAAGAAAGAAAAAAAAGAAAAAAAGGGAUGUGAGAAGCGAGAAGCGAGAGAAAAGAAAAAGAGCGAUAAUCAGAAAGAAAAGAAAGGGAAGAAAUGAGCAAAUCCAGGAGCGUAAGAGAGGAAAUGAAGAAUAAAAGGGCAAUGAGAGUAAAAUUGGGAUGAUGCCAUAUGACCUUCGUACCCUCGGAGUCAUUUUAGAACCGAUAAAUGUGACUAGGUGCAUUGCACAUAAUGCGAGAUUAUCUUAUGUUAAAUGCCAUAACGCUAACGUGAUGACUUUAUUUUGUUCCUCUUUGUUAUCUUUAUUACAGCAGAAGGGUGGUUGGUUUGUGGUUCUUAAACUGGUAACUCUUUCCUACAACAUAAAGUCGAAAGGUAAUGGCAGACGAUAACAGAGUUGAGUUAGUCGAUAUUGGUACCCGAAAGCAGUUGGUUGAACAAGACAUUGGGUUGGUUGAAGAGGUAAGUAUGUUGAGACAACACAUGUCGACAUGUAUCAGGCUUGGAUGACUGGGAAGGCACCACCCCCGCCACCACCUGGCUUCCUAGAUGCUACCCUUACCCAAGCUCCGGUCAUAGUGUCAAAUCAUCCACCAUAUUCUCCGAAUUUUCCCGCUUAUCACAGCUUUUCUAACCUCCUUAGUAGCUCCAUCGUACGUCCUCCAACUACCUUUCCCAAAAAUAGCCCUCCUGAUGUUGUUGAGCCCCGCCAACGACAAGUCCCAGUGCGCGUUCAUGCUCAACACUUUCAGCCUCAACAUCGACCCCAUGAGUAUCUCCUACUCCAAAUAAUCCUCCCCGAUGCUACUUCUCUCCACAAAAUCCCCAAAGCCAUACCUCACCUUCCCACUACUUUAUCCAUAAUGCACCACCAUAUGCUUCAUAUCCACAAGACCCGCAAUGGCCUGCACCACCUCCACAAAUGUCUUACCCAGAUCUACAAGCAUAUAAACCACCUACCCUCAAGAGGUUCCAACCAAGGUCGGAGUACAAAAUAAAAAAGCAGCAACAAAAGGUUUCACUACUAUUGGAGAAUCAUAUGCCAGUUUGUUCCAAAGGUUGAGGCAAUUGGACAUGUUGAAGCCAAUUUAUAUAAAAAUGUCGAACCCCCUUCCAAAGAAUUUUGAUUAUUUUCAAAGGUGCGCAUAUUGCUCUAAUGCCCCCCGGGCACAGUAUAGAAAAGUGUUGGCAUCUGAAAAGAGCAGU